GCAAGUAGUUUUUUGCUCGUCCCCGUCUACUAUGCGGACUUGAUAAUAGCCCUACCUCAAGUAGGGAUUCCACCCGCCUAAAGUUGGGGGUUGCUGCAGUAGCUCCUUGCAUCUAGGGAGCUACUGUUCACCAAAUAUGAAAAUAAUUUCCCCUUUUCUCAUUUUGGGACUUGGUCUUUACGCCGCAUGCGGCACUGUCAAAGCACCAUCAGCACCUUUUCAUCAGCACCAAAUGAAAAGGUAAGACCAUCUUCAGAGAUAAGAUCUCCAUUCAGGUCUGAAAUUUAUAGAAUCAAAAGUUAAAUUCUGAAAGUCCUAAAACCAUGUUCGGCAAAGAAACCAAAUACUUCAGAGAUAAGAUCUCCAUUCAGGUCUGAAAUUUAUAGAAUCAAAAGUUAAAUUCUGAAAGUCCUAAAACCAUGUUCGGCAAAGAAAUCUCUAUUUGGUCUGCAAUUUCUGACCUGCUUACCUGAAGGGAGAGUUUGAGUGAAGAAAUCUCUAUUUGGGACUGCAAUUUUUGGAUUGAAAUCUCCAUAUUCAGUGUAGAUGUACAAGUGUCUAUAUAUAUGUAUAUGUAACUAUAUAUAGAGUGCGAAUAGUAAAAAGAUAUUGUUUAAAAUAAGUGGAGAAAGAAUAGGAUGUAUUGUUGGAGCAAAGUUUUUAAAUGGGGUUCCCUGGAAAUAAGGAAUUCCCUUUUUUACAACAAAUCAGAGUAAAUAUAGGGAGUAUUGUUGGGGAUGCUCUUAGUGAAG
This 752-nucleotide long non-coding RNA is filed under the name Actinidia chinensis (golden kiwifruit). RNAcentral describes it as "long non-coding RNA (ACHI_LNC006843)". The record is from RNAcentral. Lineage: Eukaryota; Viridiplantae; Streptophyta; Magnoliopsida; Ericales; Actinidiaceae.